CUCAAAGUGUGUGUGUGUGUGUGGUCCUCCCUCCCGUGCAAGGUGAGUGGUGUGCGUGUGUUUUUGUUUACUCCUCUCUCCCCUGUGGGGUCUGUGUGGGUCUCCGUCUCCUCUGCAGUGUGUGUGUUGUACCUUGUGUGUGCGUGCAUAUUCCUCGCUUCCCUUCAGUUUGUGUGGUGUGUAUGCGUGUGUAUUCCUCUCUCUCCUGCAGCGUGUGUGUGUGUGUGUGUGUGUGUGUGUGUGUGUGUGUGUGUGUAUUCCUCUCUCCCUUGCAGGUUUGGGCAGGGAGCAUAUCCCUUCUCCUGCCCAAAUCUCCAGUUCAAACACUCGCUGCCCUAAAAGCCAUCCUUAACGAAAACCUUGCCUGCCUUCAUCACUUCCCAUGGAUAAACCUUUCCAGGAGCCCAAAUUAUCCAGACUGUGCCAGGGAGUGGAGGGAAAAAAGAUAAUUUUGCAGAUACAGGAAUUCCCAGGGGUGUGGGCUUGCAGAGGAAUUAGUAUCCCUUUUGUAUCCAUAAUCAUUGACCAUGAGCUUUCCUUCACCACCUGUCUCAUCUACUAAAUUCCUGUCUUCCUCUUAUGGAAAUGUAAAGACAAAAAUAUAAUGCUACCUUGAAGAACAACCCUAUUGACAAUGACAAUAAACUGAACAGGGCUAGCGUGUGACAGAGGUAGAAGAAAAGGACAUACCAACUGCAGAGACUUCCUCAGCCUGAUGAAGGGUUUUUGAACCCAAAA
Molecule: long non-coding RNA, 738 nt
Organism: Alligator sinensis (Chinese alligator)
Lineage: Eukaryota; Metazoa; Chordata; Crocodylia; Alligatoridae
Exons: 4
Source: RefSeq, a predicted model, not a curated record